Molecule: unclassified non-coding RNA, 271 nt
Filed under: Hevea brasiliensis (rubber tree)
Lineage: Eukaryota; Viridiplantae; Streptophyta; Magnoliopsida; Malpighiales; Euphorbiaceae
Source: RNAcentral
GAUUCUCCAUUGAGUUUGCUGGUGGAUGGAUUCCUAAAAUUUCCAUCUUUAAUCAAAGGCUAAAAAAACCAUAAUGAGAACCCAAACUGGCUGUUGAGGUGGGUGGCUUUUUGGUUUCACAGUUAGACGUAUGCCUUGCAAUGAAUGCACUCUUCUCUAAAUGGUGAGUACAUUAUAGCUGUUAACCUUGACAGGAUAACUGGAUGGGUUGUGAGCUCAACACAUUUUCCGCUUUCUUGGAGAACAAAUAUGCAUAAGAGGAGGAAAUAAG